AACGAACGCUGGCGGCAUGCCUAACACAUGCAAGUCGAACGAGACCUUCGGGUCUAGUGGCGCACGGGUGCGUAACGCGUGGGAACCUGCCCUUAGGUUCGGAAUAACUCCCCGAAAGGGGUGCUAAUACCGGAUAAUGUCUUCGGACCAAAGAUUUAUCGCCUUUGGAUGGGCCCGCGUUGGAUUAGCUAGUUGGUAGGGUAAAAGCCUACCAAGGCGACGAUCCAUAGCUGGUCUGAGAGGAUGAUCAACCACACUGGGACUGAGACACGGCCCAGACUCCUACGGGAGGCAGCAGUGGGGAAUAUUGGACAAUGGGCGAAAGCCUGAUCCAGCAAUGCCGCGUGAGUGAUGAAGGCCUUAGGGUUGUAAAGCCCUUUUACCCGGGAUGAUAAUGACAGUACCGGGAGAAUAAGCUCCGGCUAACUCCGUG
RNAcentral lists this ribosomal RNA (433 nucleotides) under uncultured bacterium. RNAcentral's name for it is "partial 16S ribosomal RNA". It matches the Rfam family "Bacterial small subunit ribosomal RNA", at positions 29 to 507 of the family's 1533-position model. The record is from RNAcentral.